Molecule: long non-coding RNA, 539 nt
Filed under: Capsicum annuum
Lineage: Eukaryota; Viridiplantae; Streptophyta; Magnoliopsida; Solanales; Solanaceae
Description: long non-coding RNA (CANN_LNC002046)
Source: RNAcentral
CUCACCCCAGUACUUCUUCGGCCUACCCCUACCCCGCUUAAACCCAUCCAACGCUAGCCUCUCACACCUACGGACCGGGGCAUCCUUGCCCCUCCUUUUCACGUGUCCGAACCAUCUCAAUCGGGCUUCCCGCAUCUUGCACUCCACUGGUGUCACACCAACCUUCUCCCGGAUGUUCUCAUUCCGAACUCUAUCCCCUCUAGUCAGCCCACACAUCCAGCGCAACAUCCAUAUUUCUGCCACCCUCAUCUUUUGGAUGUGGGAGUUCUUCACUGGCCAACACUCCGCUCCAUACAACAUGGCCGGACGGACUACCGCCCUGUAGAAUUUGCCCUAUUUUUACAACUUGUAUAACUGGUUUUAUCUUGUUAUAUAAUAUCUCUGCUGGUGCAGUAUAACACUUUAUAUAAAAUAGAUUUUCUUUGGUUACUCUUUUAUAGGUACUUCUCCCGGAUGUUCUCAUUCCGAACUCUAUCCCCUCUAGUCAGCCCACACAUCCAGCGCAACAUCCGCAUUUCUGCCACCCUCAUCUUUUGGAU